CUAGGCAUCCGACCCGAACUGAACUCUGUACCUGUAGAGCGAGCAACGAAACGGAGAAGUGGGCGCGGGAUCUGGUGAUCUGACCUGGGGCACGAACAUCCGCGGCGAGAGGGAGCGACCGGGACUCCCGGGCGGCGUCGGCUUCCCCGGGCGCGGCGGCAUCCUCCUCCCUGCCGCUGGCGUUGCCCAUGGCCUCCUUCCCUCCUCCUCCUCCUACCCCCGCCCCCGCGGCGGCGAAAUCACGGAAGUGCCACUCACUGCGUUGUGGCGCUGCUG
This 276-nucleotide long non-coding RNA is filed under the name Hordeum vulgare. RNAcentral's name for it is "long non-coding RNA (HVUL_LNC001925)". The record is from RNAcentral. Lineage: Eukaryota; Viridiplantae; Streptophyta; Magnoliopsida; Poales; Poaceae.